CAGUAGCCGCGGGAAUACAGAGGAUGCAAGCGUUAUCCGGAAUGAUUGGGCGUAAGGCGUCUGUAGGUGGCUUUUCAAGUCCGCCGUCAAAUCCCAGGGCUCAACCCUGGACAGGCGGUGGAAACUACCAAGCUGGAGUACGGUAGGGGCAGAGGGAAUUUCCGGUGGAGCGGUGAAAUGCGUAGAUAUGCGGAGGAACACCGAUGGCGAAGGCAGCCCCCCUGGGCCAAUACUGACGCUCAUGCACGAAAGCGUGGGGAGCAAACAGGAUUAGAUACCCCCGUAGUCCCUGUCUCUUAUA
Molecule: ribosomal RNA, 301 nt
Filed under: uncultured bacterium
Lineage: Bacteria
Description: partial 16S ribosomal RNA
Rfam family: Bacterial small subunit ribosomal RNA
Source: RNAcentral